This 565-nucleotide long non-coding RNA is filed under the name Elaeis guineensis (African oil palm). RNAcentral describes it as "long non-coding RNA (EGUI_LNC054524)". The record is from RNAcentral. Lineage: Eukaryota; Viridiplantae; Streptophyta; Magnoliopsida; Arecales; Arecaceae.
GUUAUGCCAACCUUAUCUCAUCCAAAAAUUUCUCUUUAAAACCCCUUCCAGAAAUUAAUCACCAUUAAGCUUGGAUCUUCCUCCCUCUCCCUUCCUUCCUCACCUCCAACAACUACCUAGCCACCAUUGCUAACCACCGUGCCACCUAAACCCUUUUAUUCUUCUCCUAUGCUCUAUUUUUACCCUUGAUUCACCAUCCAUUUUGCCACCAGAAUCCUUCACCACCGGCCAUGACCCACAACCGCCACCACCUUCGAUAAGCCCUCCUCCCUUUCUUUCCUUUUGGUUUUUGGUGUUGCUACCAUGGCAACAAAGGACAGUGCCCCUUUUUUAUCUUCUCUUGGCUCUCUUGUGCACAGCCGAACCACUACCUCUAGCCACCAGCACUCUAGCCGUGCCACCACCAUUGGUUGCAUCACCACCAAACCAACCUCUCCUUCUCCCCUUUACUCUCCCUUAGAAGGCUUCAAUGAAAUCCUUGGUUCGACAAAAGGAGGGGAGGAAGAAAAAGAAGAAGAAAAAAAAAUAAAAACAAAAGAGAGAGAGGGGGAAACAUUGGCCCUUG